UGGUCAUAUCAUAUAACACCACUUUCCGUACAAUCAUCGAAGUUAAGCAACGACGAGCCAGGUCAGUACCUGGAUAUGUGAAUGCUUGGGAAUAUCAGGUGCUGUA
Molecule: non-coding RNA, 106 nt
Organism: Acanthosepion pharaonis
Lineage: Eukaryota; Metazoa; Mollusca; Cephalopoda; Sepiida; Sepiidae
Source: the annotation of a GenBank genome assembly